This 719-nucleotide ribosomal RNA is filed under the name uncultured eukaryote. Its description in RNAcentral is "SSU rRNA". It matches the Rfam family "Eukaryotic small subunit ribosomal RNA", at positions 557 to 1281 of the family's 1831-position model. The record is from RNAcentral.
UAGUCUGGUGCCAGCAGCCGCGGUAAUUCCAGCUCCAAUAGCGUAUAUUAAAGUUGUUGCAGUUAAAACGCUCGUAGUCGGAUUUCGGGGCAGGUUUGCCGGUCUGCCGAUGGGUAUGCACUGGUAGAACUGUCCUUCCUUCCGGAGACGGCGCCUACUCUUAACUGAGCGGGUGUCGGAGACGGAUCGUUUACUUUGAAAAAAUCAGAGUGUUUCAAGCAGGCAGCUCGCUUUUGCAUGGAUUAGCAUGGGAUAAUGAAAUAGGACUUUGGUGCUAUUUUGUUGGUUUCGAACACCGAAGUAAUGAUUAACAGGGACAGUCAGGGGCACUCGUAUUCCGCCGAGAGAGGUGAAAUUCUUAGACCAGCGGAAGACGAACCACUGCGAAAGCAUUUGCCAGGGAUGUUUUCACUGAUCAAGAACGAAAGUUAGGGGAUCGAAGACGAUCAGAUACCGUCGUAGUCUUAACCAUAAACCAUGCCGACUAGGGAUUGGAGGAUGUUCCUAUGUGACUCCUUCAGCACCUUUCGGGAAACUAAAGUCUUUGGGUUCCGGGGGGAGUAUGGUCGCAAGGCUGAAACUUAAAGGAAUUGACGGAAGGGCACCACCAGGAGUGGAGCCUGCGGCUUAAUUUGACUCAACACGGGGAAACUUACCAGGUCCAGACAUUGUGAGGAUUGACAGAUUGAGAGCUCUUUCUUGAUUCGAUGGGUGGUGGU